UACGGAGGGGGCAAGCGUUGUUCGGAUUUACUGGGUGUAAAGGGUUCGUAGGCGGCAUUGUAAGUGGGAUGUGAAAUCUCUGAGCUUAACUCAGAAACUGCAUUCCAUACUGCUAAGCUAGAGUACCGCAGAGGUGAAUGGAAUUCUCGGUGUAAGGGUGAAAUCUGCAGAUAUCGAGAAGAACGCCAGUGGUGAAGACGAUUCACUGGGCGGAUACUGACGCUGAGGAACGAAAGCUAGGGGAG
Molecule: ribosomal RNA, 245 nt
Filed under: uncultured bacterium
Lineage: Bacteria
Description: partial 16S ribosomal RNA
Rfam family: Bacterial small subunit ribosomal RNA
Source: RNAcentral